Molecule: long non-coding RNA, 836 nt
Organism: Mustela lutreola (European mink)
Lineage: Eukaryota; Metazoa; Chordata; Mammalia; Carnivora; Mustelidae
Exons: 3
Source: RefSeq, a predicted model, not a curated record
UCAAGUAUGGCCUGAAACUGGAAUAUGGCUCAUAUUCAGCCUUUCUAGAUAGAUUAAAGUCUCUGGUAAUUAAGAAUGUAGGGUCACAGGUGUGUGUCAUUUGAGAUUUUUAAACACGUAGCAGGCAUGGCUGACUUGUGAUGAGAAUAGAGGUGGGAUUACAGUUAUAGCCCAGUUUAUACAGCCUGUUCCUGAGUGAUCUCAUGAGAGCACAGAAACAAGCAGGAGAAAGUGUGGCAUAUUCUGGAAAGAAGAGGAGAACGGUCAACCAAAGAAAAAUAAAAGAGUUUUCCAUUGCACAGCAUGGCCUUCUUGUGCUAAAGGAAAUGAGGUAGCACCUCAGCACUCUGUGGGGGGCAUUUUAAGCAAAGCAAUAACCAACAAAAAGGACAAAAAUGAGAACACGUGGGAUGAAAUAAACCACAAAAAAGAUAAUUGUUAUAGUCUGAGAGCUGAAGCAAGGAGGCAAGGCCUUGUUGGACCUCAACUGGGAACAAUUGUGCAAGGUGAAGAAAACGAAGCGCAGAAAAGUUGGAGAACUUGCUCAGUGUCGUUCCUGAUUGUCAAAGCAGGGACAGACAUGAAGCUUCUACCCCUACUCCUACUCCUAAGUAUCUCUAAGUAUCUUGCUCUUUACCACACUCCUAUUUUACUAGUCAUUGGCUUAAAACAUCCUUAGCAAUAGAAUGUAUAAACUCUGGUACACAGGAAACUAGUGCCAGAAUAAUUUGACCUAAGAAUUCCUUUUCUGGACCACAGAUAAUACGCUAUUCAAAUAACAUCAUGCCAAUUCUAUUGUAUCAUGGCAUUCGAUUUGCUGUUAAUACAUUAAACAA